CUGAAGUUGUUACAAUGUCAUGAAAAAGGAAGGCUUCUUCUGCUUUCCCAUUUCCUCCUCUUUUACCGCCUGCUAUUUCCUGGCAGUUAGUGCAGCUGCCAAAAGUAUGGAUCAAGGAGGUAGGGUGGUAAAAAUAUAUGAAGAAUCAGUCCAAAUUUGAGGAUCCCCAUAGAGACAUGAGAUGAUAGACCUGGAAAAAGACGACAUGGGGCCAGGUGGGAUUGCAGAGGUAGCCACAGGAAGAGAUGGUUUAUGUGCUGGGAGAUGGGGAGAAACAGACAAGUUAUAAUACUGACAUCUAUCUCCAUGGGAGGUGUUGACAUUUUGCUGAAACCUUCCAAGACGGGAACUCCUGCUGUGGAUAGGAGAUGCCAUUUCAUUGAAAAUGAGAAAUCAGAAGUCAAAUAUACUUUAUUCAUAAAAGCUGAACUCAAGACUUUUGGGAAAUAACGUGUAUGUGCAAACAAAUACAUACUCCAGAGAAAUUCCUCAUCUCAGAAAUAACCUUUAUUAUUAGUUACUAAUUGUAUUGACUUAUUCUAAAACAAGCAGUACAAAAUAACAUAUCGAUGUAUUAUUUUUCUAAAUUACAAAAAUAGAUUCACUAUUAGGUCUGUAAUACUUUUGACACAUAACUUUUAGUAAUAUAUCUUGUUUAGUUGACUAUUUGUAGUUAUCUUGGUGUGUCUUAUACAAUUCAUGACAUUAGAAUUGAAAACUGAAGUUAGAAAUUUUUUUCUGAUAUACAGUAAGAUUUGAUUGAUUUGAGAUGUGGACUGGUUUUGCUCACUAUCUUCUAUGAUAAAUAUUUAUUAAAAAUGAGCUAAAUCUGCCGAGGCAAAGUUAUGAUUAAAAUGUGUUUAAGUUAUAUUAAAAAUAAGGAUUCCUAUGCAAUGCUUGUUUCCUCUGUCAAUUGUUAAGUUUAUCAUGGGUAAGUCGCAAUCAUUAUAUUGCUAUUUUCAGUGCAUAGUAUGAUAUUGAGUACAUAUUUAGCAUUUAAUAAAUAUGUAAUGAUGGAAAUGUAAAUACUUGAAUAUUGCUAAAUAGAAGAACAUUUUCUUUCUAAUUAGAGGUCAAAUCAGGAUUAAAAAGCUCCUUAUGUUGGAUUCUUUUGAUAUUAUUUGUUGAUAGGGGUCUAUGGCCUCAAUCAAUUUUCUUUUUAAAUUAAUACACUUUGUUUUUUGAGUUGUUUUAGGCUCACAGCAAAAUCGAAUGAAAAGUACAGAAGGUUCCCAUCUACGCCCUGUCUUCACACACAAAUAGCCUCCCCCCACUAUCACCAUGCUACACAUCACAGUGGUACCCAGAAUUACUUUUUGACCAUUUGAGUAUUUGUGGCACAGCUAGAUUUUGAAUCUGUUUGAUUGGACUCAGAUACAUGUGUGCAUUUCAGUACUUUCAGAACUACUAGUGUAAAGAGUAAAGAUCAGAGUGGAGGGGCAGGAUCCAUCCACAUGGGGUGUGGUCAUAGUAAACCUCUCAGAUCUCAAUUCCUGCUUCACAAAGCAGCUAUGAUAUAACUUUUAAAAUCUGGUUUCACCAAUUUCCUGGAAAAAGUUACUCUGCUCUGUGGUGAUUGAAUUUUGUGUAUAUUUCUAUUAAUAUGCCUGCUAUAUUUUAGUUAAAUUUAACUUGUUUAUUGCUGGAUGGUAUACCCCA
RNAcentral lists this long non-coding RNA (1659 nucleotides) under Canis lupus familiaris (dog). RNAcentral describes it as "lncRNA (ENSCAFG00000059180.1)". Lineage: Eukaryota; Metazoa; Chordata; Mammalia; Carnivora; Canidae. The record is from RNAcentral.